ACUGGGCAUGGUGGUGCGCGUCUGUAAUCCCAGCUACUCGAGAGGCUGAGGCAGGAGGAUUGCAAGUUGGAGGCCAGCCUGGGCAACUUAGCAAGACCCUGUCUCAA
Molecule: small RNA, 107 nt
Filed under: Marmota monax (woodchuck)
Lineage: Eukaryota; Metazoa; Chordata; Mammalia; Rodentia; Sciuridae
Source: RNAcentral